RNAcentral lists this long non-coding RNA (242 nucleotides) under Paramuricea clavata. Lineage: Eukaryota; Metazoa; Cnidaria; Anthozoa; Malacalcyonacea; Plexauridae. The record is from RNAcentral.
UAUUAUAUUUCAAUGAUACAGGGAUACACAGUGAAUAAAAUGACGUAAUUAUUCGAGUAGUUUAAAAGGAGAAUUGGUAACUAUUAUAUUUCAAUGAUACGGGGAUACGCAGUCAUUCAAAUGACGUAAUUAUUCGAGUAGUUUAAAAGGAGAAUUGGUAACUAUUAUAUUUCAAUGAUACAGGGAUAUGGGGAUUCGCAGUGAAUAAAACGUCAUGAAACGACAAUUUAUUUGGAAAUCGG